CCUACGGGUGGCUGCAGUGAGGAAUAUUGGUCAAUGGACGAGAGUCUGAACCAGCCAAGUAGCGUGAAGGAUGACUGCCCUAUGGGUUGUAAACUUCUUUUAUAAAGGAAUAAAACGAGGCACGUGUGCCUUUUUACAUGUACUUUAUGACUAAGGAUCGGCUACCUCCGUGCCAGCAGCCGAGGUAAUACGGAGGAUCCGAGCGUUAUCAGGAUUUAUUGGGUUUAAAGGGAGCGUAGAUGGGUUGUUAAGUCAGUUGUGAAAGUUUGCGGCUAAACCGUAAAAUUGCAAUUGAUACUGGCAGCCUUGAGGACAGUUGAGGUAGGCGGAAUUCGUGGUGUAGCGGUGAAAUGCUUAGAUAUAACGAAGAACCCCGAUUGCGAAGGCAGCUUACUAAACUGUGACUGACAUUGAUGCUCGAAAGUGUGGGUAUCAAGCAGGAUUAGAUACCCCAGUAGUC
RNAcentral lists this ribosomal RNA (460 nucleotides) under uncultured bacterium. RNAcentral's name for it is "partial 16S ribosomal RNA". It matches the Rfam family "Bacterial small subunit ribosomal RNA", at positions 338 to 795 of the family's 1533-position model. The record is from RNAcentral.